GACGAACGCUGGCGGCGUGCCUAAUACAUGCAAGUCGAACGCAGUGGGGACGGGUGAGUAACACGUGGGUAACCUCCCAUCAGAGGGGAUAACACUUGGAAACAGGUGCUAAACCGAUACUGAUGGAUGGAUCCGCGGUGCAUUAGCUAGUUGGUGAGGUAACGGCUCACCAAGGCCACGAUGCAUAGCCGACCUGAGAGGGUGAUCGGCCACACUGGGACUGAGACACGGCCCAGACUCCUACGGGAGGCAGCAGUAGGGAAGCUUCGGCAAUGGACGAAAGUCUGACCGAGCAAAGCCGCGUGAGUGAAGAAGGUUUUCGGAUCGUAAAGCUCUGUUAAGCGGGACGCGGUACCGGAAUAGAAAGCCACGGCUAACUACGUGCCAGCAGCCGCGGUAAUAC
Molecule: ribosomal RNA, 403 nt
Filed under: uncultured bacterium
Lineage: Bacteria
Description: partial 16S ribosomal RNA
Rfam family: Bacterial small subunit ribosomal RNA
Source: RNAcentral